This is a non-coding RNA of Kogia breviceps (pygmy sperm whale), 759 nucleotides long. The record is from RefSeq and is a predicted model, not a curated record. NCBI's taxonomy places the organism in Eukaryota, Metazoa, Chordata, Mammalia, Artiodactyla, Physeteridae.
GCGGAGCGGGAGGACAGAGAACACGGUCAGCAGGAGGGCUCGCGCGGGUGCGUCCUGCCGUGGACGGCCGCCGGUGUGGGAAGGUUGGCCUGGGGGCUCCUCUCUUCGCUGUCCUACCCCUUCGGACUCCCACACGGGCUUGGGGACGCCCGGAAGGGACGAUCCUGGAGCCGAGGCUGAAUGCAGGAAUUGGGAGGGGGAGCGGAGGAAGAAGGCUGCCGCGCACAGUGGGCCGCUACAUUUCAGAAUCCCGGUGUGACCACCCCGCACCCCGCGCCCUGGCAGGUCCAACCCCCUUACAGCCCAAACCCCUCCUCUAGGUCCGGCCCGCGGCCGCUGAAGAGACGAGGAGGACUGGAGGAAGUAAGACUCACCUCCCCGAUUCGUCGUCUAUCGGAUGCCCAAGGUUUGGAUUCUCCCACGGAAGAAGGCAAAGAAAUGUCUACAUCUACUAGAGGAACACCAGCCAGGCACCAUGGCCUGGAGGAGAAGCUGGGGAAGAAGCAAGGAUUCGCCAAGGCAGGUCCGACUAAGAUACUUUGGCAAAUAGCACAGCCUGCUCUAAAAGCCCAGAUCCUGUGGGCUUCCCGGGUGGCACAGUGGUUGAGAGCCCGCCUGCCGAUGCAGGGGACAUGGGUUUGUGUCCCGGUCCGGGAAGAUCCCACAUGCCGCGGAGCGGCUAGGCCCGUGAGCCAUGGCUGCUGAGCCUGUGCGUCGGAGCCUGUGCUCCGCAACGGGAGAGGCCCCAACAGUGAGAGG